GCUUCGAGCCGACUUGAGACUUACUUAACCAAUGAAAUAACAGCAUUGACGUCUCAAGAUCGUGCUUAAGCUGGAACUUGAAUAAGAUUCGACUAUGAAUUCCGGCCUAGGUGUAGUAAGCCUUAAGCCAUAAGGAAUUUCUUAUGGCGUAAGGCUUACUACACUUAUUGUAGAUCCGGGCUUACCGAUACCAAUAGUCGUCGGUAGGCAAGUACAGAAUUGCGCUACAGUAGGCCUAUUCUGUAACUCGUUAAGAGGAAGUAUUAUAUCAUUACAUCGCAAUAUAUCCAGAGGUUCCAAGAGAGAUUGUAAUUUGGACAACAUAUCUUUUACAAUUUUAAGUGUUUCAUCUUCUGGAAAAAAAAAAACAAUGUAAAUGUAAAAAACACAAAUAGUUUAAGAUAAUUUCAAUAAAGAGUUUCCGGAUACAUGCUGGAUACUGGUACAACGUUGCGCCG
Long non-coding RNA from Monomorium pharaonis (pharaoh ant), 458 nucleotides. RefSeq lists it as uncharacterized. Lineage: Eukaryota; Metazoa; Arthropoda; Insecta; Hymenoptera; Formicidae. The record is from RefSeq and is a predicted model, not a curated record. The transcript is spliced from 2 exons.